This 1242-nucleotide long non-coding RNA is filed under the name Capsicum annuum. RNAcentral describes it as "long non-coding RNA (CANN_LNC006101)". The record is from RNAcentral. Lineage: Eukaryota; Viridiplantae; Streptophyta; Magnoliopsida; Solanales; Solanaceae.
UUGUUAUGAGCCUAUAGUCUUGCAACUGCCUGCAUCUAUUAAUUGACUCGUUUUUCACUUAAAUGCUUUUGUGCUCGUUUUUCACUUAAAUGCUUUUGUGCUGAUGCAUUUGUUGCAAGAUGGCUAAGUUCCUAAUAUUGUCGUUAAAACUUUCUAGGGAAACAUCAUUUGCCACUUAAACUGCAGUAUGUGGAUUUACCACAUUCCUAAGCAUGGGUAACUAAGUUAUUUGGGCUUACUUUUGUCUCGAUAUGCUUACUUUGAAAUUUGAGCAUUAAGGUUUGGCAAUAUAAGCCUGUUUUUAGUGAACAUUGCACAGAAGUGGUAAGAUUUAAAUAUCAGAUCAGAUGAGACUAUCCGGGAGAAGGUUGGGGUGACUUCAGUGGAGUGUAAGAUGCGGGAAGCACGAUUGAGAUGGUUCGGACACGUGAAGAGGAGGGGCAUGGAUGCCCCGGUCCGUAGGUGUGAGAGGCUAGCGUUGGAUGGUUUUAGACGGGGUAGGGGUAGACCGAAGAAGUACUGGGGUGAGGUGAUUAGGCGGGACAUGGAACAGUUACAGCUCACCGAGGACAUGACCCUAGAUAGGAAGGUCUGGAAGACGCGAAUUACGGCAGAGGAUUAGGGCCUGUUCGGGUCGCUAAUGUAGGGAGGUAAUUGGUGGGGGUGUAUUCCUGGUAUGAUUCCGUAUUCAAUGUUCUGUUCCGUGUUCCGUGUUCUAUGUUUGUUACGAAUCUGUGUGCUUUCCUCUGCUUUAUAUUCCUGCAUCCCUGCUUUACUCUGUUUUAUAUUCCUUAUGGCUGCAGUAUCUAUGUUAUGUCAUCUGCUUCUGUGCUGUACUAUGUGUUUGUUUGAUAUCUCGUAACUUGAGCCGGGGGUCUUUCGGAAACAGCCUUUCUACUUCAUCAGAGGUAGAGGUAUGGACUGCGUACAUCUUACCCCCCCCAGACCCCACAAAGUGGGAAUACACUGGGUUUGUUGUUGAUGUCAUGUAUUCAACAAAGAUGCCUGUUUAUAUGGAUGCAUCAUGUCACUUACAUUGAUAAGCCAUGGUACAUGAAGUCAAGUCUAAGGACAGCAUUAUUGAUGAGAGUGCUGCAAUAUGUUUGCCUCAUUCCAAUCAGAUUGAAGGAAAGAAGUAGAAGGAAAAACUAAUCUCUAUUGCAUGACUUGAACUGCCUGUUAGAUUUUUGUUUUCCUCGUACAAACAGAAAUAUAUUAAAAGUCCCUUGGUAAUGCAGUGCG